AUAUUCUUCAGCAGUACGUCUACACAUAUUACAACAAUAAAGAGAUUAAGAUGGCACUUGCAAAAAGAUGUUAUGAAAAUUUGUGAAGUAUUCCAUAUUUUU
This is a small nuclear RNA of Dipodomys spectabilis (banner-tailed kangaroo rat), 102 nucleotides long. The record is from RefSeq and is a predicted model, not a curated record. Lineage: Eukaryota; Metazoa; Chordata; Mammalia; Rodentia; Heteromyidae.